CAGCAGCCGCGGGAAUACGGAGGAUCCGAGCGUUAUCCGGAAUUAUUGGGUUUAAAGGGUGCGUAGGCGGAUAGAUAAGUCAGUGGUGAAAGACGGUGGCUCAACCAUCGCAGUGCCGUUGAUACUGUUUAUCUUGAAUAUGGAUGAGGUAGGCGGAAUGUGGCAAGUAGCGGUGAAAUGCAUAGAUAUGCCACAGAACACCGAUUGCGAAGGCAGCUUACCAAGGCAAAAUUGACGCUGAGGCACGAAAGCGUGGGGAUCGAACAGGAUUAGAUACCCCAGUAGUCCCUGUCUCUUAUAA
This 301-nucleotide ribosomal RNA is filed under the name uncultured bacterium. RNAcentral describes it as "partial 16S ribosomal RNA". It matches the Rfam family "Bacterial small subunit ribosomal RNA", at positions 509 to 809 of the family's 1533-position model. The record is from RNAcentral.